GGUGUGGCCUCCGGGCGGCAUGGCUGCUUCCCAGGUGAUGCCGGCUUCAGCUAGUGGGGUCUAGUUGACCGUUCCGCAGCCGCCAGGGCCAGCGGAAAGCCGGUCAGGGGGAACCGCGGCGGGGCUGGUGUCAUGAGCCUGAGGUGAACUUGAGGGUGCCUCCUCAGCGGUCUCCCGCCCUGCCCUGAGGGGCGCCGGGACCCCAAAGAGCGGAGGAAGAGCGCCACCCCGACGGCCACCGCUUCGGAGCCAGCACGCGGGGUACCCUACGGGGAGCGCGGAUGCCCCCGUGUUCGGGCGGGGACGGCUCCACCCCUCCUGGGCCCUCCCUUCGGGACAGGGACUGUCCCGCCCAGAGUGCUGAAUACCCGCGCGACCGUCUGGAUCCCCGCCCAGGAAGCCCCUCUGAAGCCUCCUCGCCGCCGUUUCUGAGAACAGGGCACCUGUUAACUGGUACCAAGAAAAGGCCCAAGUGUUUCUCUGGCAUCUGAUGGUGUCUGGAUCCACCACUCUACUCUGUCUCUGGAAACAGCCCUUCCACGUCUCUGCAUUCCCUGUCACCGCGUCACUGGCCUUCAGACAGAGCCAAGGUGCAGGGCAACACCUCUACAAGGAUCUGCAGCCAUUUAUAUUGCUUAGGCUACUAUGCCUGAGGAAACCCAGACCCAAGACCAACCGAUGGAGGAGGAGGAGGUUGAGACGUUCGCCUUUCAGGCAGAAAUUGCCCAGUUGAUGUCAUUGAUCAUCAAUACUUUCUACUCGAACAAAGAGAUCUUUCUGAGAGAGCUCAUUUCAAAUUCAUCAGAGCAUUGGACAAAAUCCGGUAUGAAAGCUUGACAGAUCCCAGUAAAUUAGACUCUGGGAAAGAGCUGCAUAUUAACCUUAUACCGAACAAACAAGAUCGAACUCUCACUAUUGUGGAUACUGGAAUUGGAAUGACCAAGGCUGACUUGAUCAAUAACCUUGGUACUAUCGCCAAGUCUGGGACCAAAGCGUUCAUGGAAGCUUUGCAGGCUGGUGCAGAUAUCUCUAUGAUUGGCCAGUUCGGUGUUGGUUUUUAUUC
Molecule: long non-coding RNA, 1063 nt
Filed under: Homo sapiens (human)
Lineage: Eukaryota; Metazoa; Chordata; Mammalia; Primates; Hominidae
Description: non-protein coding lnc-HSP90AA1-5:3
Source: RNAcentral